UCCCUGGUGGCUCAGAGGUUAAAGCGUCUGCCUCCAAUGCGGGAGACCUGGGUUCGAUCCCUGGCUCGUGAA
This 72-nucleotide transfer RNA is filed under the name Ovis aries (sheep). It matches the Rfam family "tRNA". Rfam says of the family: Transfer RNA (tRNA) molecules are approximately 80 nucleotides in length. Their secondary structure includes four short double-helical elements and three loops (D, anti-codon, and T loops). The record is from Rfam by way of RNAcentral. Lineage: Eukaryota; Metazoa; Chordata; Mammalia; Artiodactyla; Bovidae.